GAUGAACGCUGGCGGCGCGCCUAACACACGCAAGUCGAACGAUUAAAGCACCUUCGGGUGUGUAUAAAGUGGCGAACGGCUGAGUAACACGUGGGCAACCUGCCCCUUUCAUUGGGAUAGCCACGGGAAACCGUGGAUAAUACCGAAUACUUCGAGACUUCCGCAUGGAAGACUCGAGAAAGCUCCGGCGGAGAGGGAUGGGCCCGCGGCCUGUUAGCUUGUUGGUGGGGUAACGGCCUACCAAGGCAAUGAUGGGUAGCUGGGUUGAGAGACCGACCAGCCAGAUUGGGACUGAGACACGGCCCAGACUCCUACGGGAGGCAGCAGUGGGGAAUCUUGCACAAUGGGCGAAAGCCUGAUGCAGCGACGCCGCGUGCGGGAUGAAGGCCUUCGGGUUGUAAACCGCUUUCAGCAGGGACGAGGCGAAAGUGACGGUACCUGCAGAAGAAGCCCCGGCUAACUACGUG
RNAcentral lists this ribosomal RNA (467 nucleotides) under uncultured bacterium. RNAcentral describes it as "partial 16S ribosomal RNA". It matches the Rfam family "Bacterial small subunit ribosomal RNA", at positions 28 to 507 of the family's 1533-position model. The record is from RNAcentral.